This 250-nucleotide long non-coding RNA is filed under the name Vigna radiata. RNAcentral describes it as "long non-coding RNA (VRAD_LNC008142)". The record is from RNAcentral. Lineage: Eukaryota; Viridiplantae; Streptophyta; Magnoliopsida; Fabales; Fabaceae.
UGUAAGAAAAGAAGAAUGGAAAGUGAGGGUAAUUAAUGAGAGAUGAUUGAAGAAAUGGAAGAAGAAUUAGAUAGUGGUGUGAUGAUGUAACAGAUAGAUAAGAAUUAUUAUUAUUAUUAUUAUGAUGAGUAUUGUGUUGGUUGGUACAUGAGGGUAUUAAGUAUGUGAUGUUGUUAUCAUGGGAGAAGAGAAAGAAGUUGAAGGGGAAGCAGAAGUAGAAGUUGGAUACUACAAUGACCUUUGUCUCACC